This 1475-nucleotide ribosomal RNA is filed under the name uncultured bacterium. Its description in RNAcentral is "bacterial SSU rRNA". It matches the Rfam family "Bacterial small subunit ribosomal RNA". The record is from RNAcentral.
GAGAGUUUGAUCCUGGCUCAGGACGAACGCUGGCGGCACGCUUAACACAUGCAAGUCGAACGAGAGAAGAGGAGCUUGCUUUUCUGAUCUAGUGGCGGACGGGUGAGUAACACGUGAGCAAUCUGCCUUUCAGAGGGGGAUACCGAUUGGAAACGAUCGUUAAUACCGCAUAACAUAAUUGAACCGCAUGAUUUGAUUAUCAAAGAUUUAUCGCUGAAAGAUGAGCUCGCGUCUGAUUAGCUAGUUGGUAAGGUAACGGCUUACCAAGGCGACGAUCAGUAGCCGGACUGAGAGGUUGAUCGGCCACAUUGGGACUGAGACACGGCCCAGACUCCUACGGGAGGCAGCAGUGGGGAAUAUUGCACAAUGGAGGAAACUCUGAUGCAGCGAUGCCGCGUGAGGGAAGAAGGUUUUAGGAUUGUAAACCUCUGUCUUCAGGGACGAAAAAAGACGGUACCUGAGGAGGACGCUCCGGCUAACUACGUGCCAGCAGCCGCGGUAAUACGUAGGGAGCGAGCGUUGUCCGGAAUUACUGGGUGUAAAGGGAGCGUAGGCGGGAUCGCAAGUCAGAUGUGAAAACUAUGGGCUUAACCCAUAAACUGCAUUUGAAACUGUGGUUCUUGAGUGAAGUAGAGGUAAGCGGAAUUCCUAGUGUAGCGGUGAAAUGCGUAGAUAUUAGGAGGAACAUCAGUGGCGAAGGCGGCUUACUGGGCUUUAACUGACGCUGAGGCUCGAAAGCGUGGGGAGCAAACAGGAUUAGAUACCCUGGUAGUCCACGCCGUAAACGAUGAUUACUAGGUGUGGGGGGACUGACCCCUUCCGUGCCGCAGCAAACGCAAUAAGUAAUCCACCUGGGGAGUACGACCGCAAGGUUGAAACUCAAAGGAAUUGACGGGGGCCCGCACAAGCAGUGGAGUAUGUGGAUUAAUUCGAAGCAACGCGAAGAACCUUACCAGGUCUUGACAUCGUAUGCAUAGCUCAGAGAUGAGUGAAAUCUCUUCGGAGACAUAUAGACAGGUGGUGCAUGGUUGUCGUCAGCUCGUGUCGUGAGAUGUUGGGUUAAGUCCCGCAACGAGCGCAACCCUUACUGUUAGUUGCUACGCAAGAGCACUCUAGCAGGACUGCCGUUGACAAAACGGAGGAAGGAGGGGAUGACGUCAAAUCAUCAUGCCCCUUAUGACCUGGGCCUCACACGUACUACAAUGGCUGUAAACAGAGGGAUGCAAAGCCGCGAGGUGGAGCGAACCCCCAAAAGCAGUCUUAGUUCGGAUUGUAGGCUGCAACCCGCCUACAUGAAGUCGGAAUUGCUAGUAAUCGCAGAUCAGCAUGCUGCGGUGAAUACGUUCCCGGGCCUUGUACACACCGCCCGUCACGCCAUGGGAGUCGGUAACACCCGAAGCCUGUAGUCUAACCGCAAGGAGGACGCAGUCGAAGGUGGGAUUGAUGACUGGGGUGAAGUCGUAACAAGGUAGCCG